AACGCGAAGAACCUUACCUACCCUUGACAUCCACAGGAUCCUGCAGAGAUGCGGGAGUGCCGAAAGGAACUGUGAGACAGGUGCUGCAUGGCUGUCGUCAGCUCGUGUUGUGAGAUGUUGGGUUAAGUCCCGUAACGAGCGCAACCCUUAUCCUUAGUUGCCAACAUGUAAUGGUGGGGACUCUAAGGAGACUGCUGGUGAUGAACCGGAGGAAGGCGGGGACGACGUCAAGUCAUCAUGGCCUUUAUGGGUAGGGCCACACACGUGCUACAAUGGGGCGUACAGAGGGAAGCCAACCUGCGAAGGGGAGCCAAUCCCAGAAAGCGCCUCGUAGUCCGGAUUGAAGUCUGCAACUCGACUUCAUGAAGUCGGAAUCGCUAGUAAUCGCGAAUCAGAACGUCGCGGUGAAUACGUUCCCGGGCCUUGUACACACCGAUACUC
This 441-nucleotide ribosomal RNA is filed under the name uncultured bacterium. Its description in RNAcentral is "bacterial SSU rRNA". It matches the Rfam family "Bacterial small subunit ribosomal RNA", at positions 958 to 1398 of the family's 1533-position model. The record is from RNAcentral.